CGCGAUGUACCCAAGCAGCGAAGGGACCGGUCUGCAAAGCCGUGUGUCGCGGGUGCAAGUCCCGCCAUCGCGU
This 73-nucleotide transfer RNA is filed under the name Beta vulgaris subsp. vulgaris (sugar beet). It matches the Rfam family "tRNA". Rfam says of the family: Transfer RNA (tRNA) molecules are approximately 80 nucleotides in length. The record is from Rfam by way of RNAcentral. Lineage: Eukaryota; Viridiplantae; Streptophyta; Magnoliopsida; Caryophyllales; Amaranthaceae.